RNAcentral lists this long non-coding RNA (276 nucleotides) under Lathyrus oleraceus (garden pea). RNAcentral's name for it is "Pisum sativum (pea) long non-coding RNA (PSAT_LNC005810)". The record is from RNAcentral. Lineage: Eukaryota; Viridiplantae; Streptophyta; Magnoliopsida; Fabales; Fabaceae.
AAAAUUAAAAGUUAAGAGUUGAAAAGAUCUGACCAAAUGGGUAGCAAUCCAAUAGACAAGAAUGUCAAUAGAAAUCCAUAAUUCCCUUGGACUUUUUAGAAGGAAGCAACACACAAAUGCACAAUUAUAUUAUCUUGAAGAGCAAGGUGUAACACCCCAAAAUUUUCCCUCCUCAUUCAUGCAUUCAUUUUUAGGUCAUUUAACAUUUCAUAUUGCAUUUCAUCAUGUCAAUCAGAAUCAGAUCCAAGAAACUUUAUUUUUUUUAUAAAAAAAAAU